Molecule: ribosomal RNA, 648 nt
Filed under: Staphylococcus aureus
Lineage: Bacteria; Bacillati; Bacillota; Bacilli; Caryophanales; Staphylococcaceae
Description: bacterial SSU rRNA
Rfam family: Bacterial small subunit ribosomal RNA
Source: RNAcentral
UUUUAUGGAGAGUUUGAUCCUGGCUCAGGAUGAACGCUGGCGGCGUGCCUAAUACAUGCAAGUCGAGCGAACGGACGAGAAGCUUGCUUCUCUGAUGUUAGCGGCGGACGGGUGAGUAACACGUGGAUAACCUACCUAUAAGACUGGGAUAACUUCUGGAAACCGGAGCUAAUACCGGAUAAUAUUUUGAACCGCAUGGUUCAAAAGUGAAAGACGGUCUUGCUGUCACUUAUAGAUGGAUCCGCGCUGCAUUAGCUAGUUGGUAAGGUAACGGCUUACCAAGGCAACGAUGCAUAGCCGACCUGAGAGGGUGAUCGGCCACACUGGAACUGAGACACGGUCCAGACUCCUACGGGAGGCAGCAGUAGGGAAUCUUCCGCAAUGGGCGAAAGCCUGACGGAGCAACGCCGCGUGAGUGAUGAAGGUCUUCGGAUCGUAAAACUCUGUUAUUAGGGAAGAACAUAUGUGUAAGUAACUGUGCACAUCUUGACGGUACCUAAUCAGAAAGCCACGGCUAACUACGUGCCAGCAGCCGCGGUAAUACGUAGGUGGCAAGCGUUAUCCGGAAUUAUUGGGCGUAAAGCGCGCGUAGGCGGUUUUUUAAGUCUGAUGUGAAAGCCCACGGCUCAACCGUGGAGGGUCAUUGGA